GAUAUGUUCCCAUAUUCUCAUAGACGGCACCAAUCUGUUGUUGCCAAAAUCCAGCCCAAUUAGGAUAGCCUGGGGGGCAUUGAUCAAUCCGCUUGACUUGUGAUGGUGAAAGAUGAAGCAUUAAUCUUUCUUGGGGGGCUGUAGAUCUGUACACACAACAAAGAAGAGAAAGGCUUGUCGGAUUGGCUCUGACUGAGCCCUCCAAUGCCUAAAUUGGAUCGGAUUUUGAUAAAACAAUAGUAAAUAAAGAAUAUUAUAGAGAGUUAGAGUAAUGUAAAAUAUCUAUUUUAUUCUAUUUAGUAUCUGAUCGAUCUGGAGAUGGUCAGAUCUGAUCAGUGUCUAACAGAUCCAGAGGUAGUUAGAUCUAAUCGACGUCUAACUAAUUUAGAGAUGGUC
RNAcentral lists this long non-coding RNA (396 nucleotides) under Elaeis guineensis (African oil palm). Its description in RNAcentral is "long non-coding RNA (EGUI_LNC008322)". The record is from RNAcentral. Lineage: Eukaryota; Viridiplantae; Streptophyta; Magnoliopsida; Arecales; Arecaceae.